This 486-nucleotide ribosomal RNA is filed under the name uncultured bacterium. RNAcentral describes it as "bacterial SSU rRNA". It matches the Rfam family "Bacterial small subunit ribosomal RNA", at positions 30 to 511 of the family's 1533-position model. The record is from RNAcentral.
AUUGAACGCUGGCGGCAUGCCUUACACAUGCAAGUCGAACGGCAGCGGACCUUCGGGUGCCGGCGAGUGGCGAACGGGUGAGUAAUAUAUCGGAACGUACCUUUCAGUGGGGGAUAACGUAGCGAAAGUUACGCUAAUACCGCAUAUUCUGUGAGCAGGAAAGCAGGGGAUCGCAAGACCUUGCGCUGAUUGAGCGGCCGAUGUCAGAUUAGCUAGUUGGUGAGGUAAAGGCUCACCAAGGCGACGAUCUGUAGCGGGUCUGAGAGGAUGAUCCGCCACACUGGAACUGAGACACGGUCCAGACUCCUACGGGAGGCAGCAGUGGGGAAUUUUGGACAAUGGGCGCAAGCCUGAUCCAGCCAUGCCGCGUGAGUGAAGAAGGCCUGCGGGUUGUAAAGCACUUUCAGUGGGGAAGAACAGAUUCGGGUCAAUACCCCGGAGCCCUGACGUUACCCACAGAAGAAGCACCGGCUAACUCCGUGCCAG